AAAACUCAAAACGCACAGAUUGGUUUCA
RNAcentral lists this small RNA (28 nucleotides) under Bombyx mori (domestic silkworm). Its description in RNAcentral is "ovarian small RNA-9852". The record is from RNAcentral. Lineage: Eukaryota; Metazoa; Arthropoda; Insecta; Lepidoptera; Bombycidae.